This 4881-nucleotide long non-coding RNA is filed under the name Cricetulus griseus (Chinese hamster). RNAcentral describes it as "lncRNA (ENSCGRG00015033292.1)". Lineage: Eukaryota; Metazoa; Chordata; Mammalia; Rodentia; Cricetidae. The record is from RNAcentral.
AUCCACAAUUUCCCUUUAAUGUUAAAUUAACAUUUAAAAAUGAGGGAAAUAGUUUUGUCAAUUUAAAAAUAAAAUCCAUAAGAAUUAAUAUUAUAGCAUAUUAGAUAAUACUAAAAUAUAUACAGGUACUUAUUUAAUGAAUGUGUUAAGAUAUAAAUUCAACCAAUAAAUUCUUUUUAAAGAUAAUUUAAGUGAGUGUGUGUGUGUGUGUGUGUGUGUGUGUGUGUGUGUGUGUGUGUGUGCCUGCAUGAGUUGUAUACCAUGUACAUACAGAUGCUAGCUCCACCCAGAAGAGGGUAUUAUAUUCCAUGUAGCUGGAAUUAUAGAAAGAUGAGAAACACCAAAUCAGUGUAUUAGGAACUAAACCCAGUCCUCUGUGAGACUCUCAAACAGCUCAAUUCAUUGUAAGUUGAAGUAAAAUGAAGAACAAAAUUUAUGUUUUUGAUGUUUCAGUUCAUUGAAAGAAAUAUCACAAGAAAAUCGCAUCUUAAAUCGUUCUUACAUAUACUUCAGUGUAACUAACUUAAUAAGAAAAAAUAUAAUGUUCACACAAGUUAGUGUGAUCCAAUGUAUUCACUGUGAAGCACACACUGUUCAAAAUGUCACCCUAACUGACUGCUGAGAGAAUACCCAUUUCUGUUUAUGUCAGAGGCAACAACCAUCCAGAAAAAUGAUUUUAAGUAUAUCAUAACUAUCACAAAGUGUGCUAAUUUAUUUUCAGUUUUCAUACUUGGAGAGAAUUGCUAACCACUCUAUAAAAGGAUUAAACAUCAUGUCACUUGAAAAUGUUACAUUGAUAGAAAUAGAAUUCAGAUGUAUGUAGCAUUUAAGGAUACCUUCUGAAACAUUUAGUUCAAAUCUGUAGACCAAUCCCACUUACUAAGGUCCCUAGUGUUACAGAUGAAGGGUCAGCUGAAUUACAAUCCUCUUGGGAAGAUUAAUACUAUCUCCAAAGUGUUACGUAAGUAAUGGGUAUGUAGCUUAGUGACAGAGUACUUGCAUAGUACCUGCAUGGCCCUGGGUACUACUCCCAGCAUCUCAAAAUAAUGUGUUGUCUUAAGUUUAAUUGUAAUUUCCUUGAGCCUUAUCCACACUCUAUAGAUUUUUAUUGAUAUUUAUAAGCUAACAGUAUCCUUUAUUAGAAUAAGAACAAACAUAUCAAAACAUCAAUUAUAAAGGAAGCAUAAACUUCUUUAUUCUCAACUGUUAUGCUCUUCCUUUGACUGAUUAGAAAGUUUUGGAAAGUUCUUGUAAAUAUUUAAAGGGAUUGCUUAAACCUAGCUUCCAAGAGUAAGUCUCCCUAUAUGUGGAGGCAGAACAGACACUUCAGUCCAUAAGAGACAAGACUGCUAUGACUGCUGCAAAGCAGGACACUGGGCUGGUCUGAACAGGAUGCUGGAAUACUUGAACACACACAGCUUGGAAGUGAUUGUUCUCCAAGUGAAAGUUGAUUAACAAUGCAACCCCCCUACCACCACAGCCACUUACCCUUGCUCUCUGAGACAAUGUCCACAUUGUGUUGUAAAUUGCUGAAAUCCUGGGCCUAUUGCUCCUUCCUCAUCCUCCUUCCUAAGAAAGUGGUAUUUCUCCACCAGCUAUUGGCCACACCCACUCUUGAUAGGCCCCAACAGCCUUGGACUAGCAAAGCCUACAAUUGAUAGUAAUUUGGACAGGCACAAAUUUGAGAACUGCUGCUUCCAAGCAGGGAACAAAAGAGGAAUAAGCUAAAGUGAGUAGGAUUCUAGAUCAAGAAUUUCAGUGUCACAAAUACUAGCUAGGAACUUGUAAGAGAGCUGGAGGGUGAGUCUCAGUCAGUAAAGCUGUUGAUCUGCAAACAGGACUUCAGCUCAGUCCCAAAAGCCCACAUAGAAUGAUGGGCAUGGAGGUGUGCUUAUCUUCACAGUACAAGUGAGGUACACAAAAGUGAAUCCCUGAUGCUUCCUGCACAGUCAUCGUAGGCUUCCUGGUGAGUUGAGGACAGUGAGAGACCAUAUCUCAUAAUACAAAUAAAUGGAGGCAGUAUCUCUAGAAAAAGACAAAAUGUUGACCUCUGCCUCCACAGAAGUGUACACACACAAAGGAAUCUAUGUACAACAUCCAGACACACUUCUGCCCACAAAGGAACUCUUGAGGAAGUAUAAGAUCAGAUAUCAUCUUUCUUUACCUUUUUCCUAUUUACAAAAUGUAGAUAUGAUGUAUGUAUGUAUUGUUGAAGUUAUUUGGGGUAUACAAAUAAUCGUGAUGUUAUUUUAAUAACAUACUCUGGUAGGUACAAAAUCAUGGCUGUCAAAAGUCAGCUGUUAUGAACAGCAGUAUCUAGAACCAGUAGUUUUCUUAAAUAAGAAAAUAAUUGUGUUGCAUAAACAGUUAACCUUCCCUAAGGAUUCAGUCAAGUUCUCUAUCUCCAGUUCUUUCAGAUCUGUCCUCAAACAGCAAACAUUUGGAAGGUGACUGACACAUCAGUAGGAUGGCAAAUAAUUGAUUCCUUUGUUUAAUUUCUCCAUGUUAAAAUGUUAGCCAUACCUAAGUAAACUCAUCACAAACAUUUCGUGCAAGACCUUUUAAGACUCCAGCUGAAGUGAUGAAAAUAGUGGCAAGAAAAUCUACACAAAAGAUGAUAAUGCCUCCCUUGGGGAGUCACUAAAGACUGGGAUACCAAGUUGAAGCAGGACCAAGCCCCUCCCCACGAAUCAAACUGAACAAUUUAUUCCAUUACAAGAUUUGUUUAUCCUGUAUACAAUGUUCUGCCUGCAUGCCAGAAGAAGUCAUCAGAUCUCAUUACAGAUGGUUGUGACCCACAAUGUGGUUGCUGGGAAUCAAACUCAGGACUUGGGGAAGAGUAGCCAGUGCCCUUGACUUCUAUGCCAUCUCUUCAUACCUACCACUGAGAUUUUAACUAUUUUCCCUUCCUGGUGCCCUCCAUUUAUUUCUCUCUUAGGGUCCUCAUUUUUACCUAGAUCUCCCACGUUCUUGGAGAACUAAGAUCAACAUACUAAAAUGCAAUCUACAGGUUCAAUGAAAUCUCCAUCAAAAUUCCAGCACAAUUCUUCACAGACCUCUAACAAACAAUGUUCAACUUCAUAUGGAAAAACAAACAAAAAAAAAAAAAAACAGGAUAACCAAAACAAUAUAAUAAAGGAACUUCUCGAGGCAUCACCAUCACUGACUUCAAACUCUACAAUAGAGCUAUAGUAAUGAAAACAGCUUGCUAUUGGCGUAAAAACAGACACGUGGAUCAAUAGAAUUAAAUUGAAGACCCCGACAUUAGUCGACAUACCUAUCAUACCUAUGAACACCCAGUUUUUGACAAAGAAGCCAAAGCUGUACAAUGGAAAAAAAAACCAUCUUUAACAAAUGGUACUGGCAUAACUGGAAGUCCACCUGAAGAAGAAUGCUUGUUAUUUCUUAUACACAUCGGCUUGGCAUUUUACCAUUCCUUAUUCCCUGCCUGAAUUGCUCUUGCUCAUUUAAAAUUACAUGGACUGUCGAUGUAAUUUUAUUAAGUUGCAUGUGGGAAUCUCCUAACAAACUAAAAUGAAUUUAUACCAUAGAUUUAAUUUAGUUUAUUAAAGAGAGACCAACUAAGAUGGUGAAACUUAAUUGACCCAGUAUUUAUAGAACCAAAAGAUGUCUAGGUGUUGAAGUGGUGAUGACAGAAUAAAGGAUGCACUCCAAAACAGGAACUCUGACCAGAUAAAGCAUUCUACAAGUUAACAUGGAAUGUUUGCUCCUGGUGUAUAAAUAAAAGUAGAUAGCAUCUCAAGAGAAGUUGCUUAUUCCAGGAGAAUGAAAUAAUGCACAAUUUGUAGGGUCCACUGCUGAUUUCGCAGAAUAACACACUGUAGGGACACACAGUCAUCAUUUUGCUUAUUUCUUAUCCAUCUGUCAAGGUCAAUUUCCAUGCACUCUCCACUGAAGUCUUUAUAUGCCCCCAGCUGGAAGUCAUUUCUUCAGCCAAGGAGAGCUGGUAGCACAUGUAAUAUGUUUCAAUAUGAAGUUGGUGAGUGAAUAAUUGUAUUCUGCCACUCUGGGGGCAUAUCACUCCUUGAGCAGAAAUGGCUAAUUAAGAACAUAAUUAAAUUUUAAAUUAUAGCUGGAGAAAUUACACUGCAUAAGAGAGAUAAAUUAAGAUACAUAAUGGUGCAGUUACCAGGUAUAUGUUCUUAAAAUGAGUAAAUGUGCUGUGAGAAAUAAUUGAUUUACAAAGUAUGCUUCCUUUCGACUUUAUAUUCCUCUUUUAAUCCUGAUGCUCUUUCUUUAGACUCCACAUAGUGCAGUAUUGUCUCUGCAAACACUUUUCAUGCUGCUAUUGUUCAGCAGAACUGGAACAUCAUCUCUAAAAUUGCCAUUUGAUCACUAUCCUCAUCAGACCAUGCAUUGCCUCUCUCAAAUGAAAGCAUGGGACUUUAUGGAUUCUAAGGAAGAGUUUUGUGACUUUCCAUGCAAUUAUUCCCAUGUAGAAAAAUGUAACAUUACUUUUAAAUUGGCUGAGCAUGUUGUAUGUUUUUAUCUUGUAGAAUAUGAUGCUUUGAACUGCAUGCAUAUUACAGAGUAGAUACAUACAGCCUAUUUAUGUAUUUAUUCUCACUGUUACAAAUUUUUUAUCAGAAUACCUAAUGCUCACUUUGAAUUUCCUUCCCCCAAAACACCACACUUUGUCAUCUCUAGCUCUGGUCAACUUUCUUCAUAAUGAAUGUCUUGAACUCUUUUCUUCUUAGUGUAGAAUGAUGCUGAACUGAAUAUAAGGCAUUUUCUGUGUCUAUUGACAUGGCUAUAUUAUUCUUACUCUUUAUCUGUUAAUGUGAUAUAUCUUAAGAAUUGACUUGCCUAUGUUGAAGUCUGCUGUAAUCCUUGAAAUAAAACCUACAUGUUAAUGGUUAA